This 369-nucleotide ribosomal RNA is filed under the name uncultured bacterium. RNAcentral's name for it is "partial 16S ribosomal RNA". It matches the Rfam family "Bacterial small subunit ribosomal RNA", at positions 338 to 705 of the family's 1533-position model. The record is from RNAcentral.
CCUACGGGAGGCAGCAGUGAGGAAUAUUGGUCAAUGGACGAGAGUCUGAACCAGCCAAGCCGCGUGAAGGAUGACUGCCCUAUGGGUUGUAAACCUCUUUUGUCUGGGAAUAAAACACGGGAUGAAUACCGUCCUGCAUGUACCAUAUGAAUAAGCAUCGGCUAACUCCGUGCCAGCAGCCGCGGUAAUACGGAGGAUGCGAGCGUUAUCCGGAUUUAUUGGGUUUAAAGGGAGCGUAGGAGGUCUGUUAAGUCAGCGGUAAAAUUUCGGGGCUCAACCCGGUAGAGCCGUUGAAAAUGGCAGACUUGAGUUGGCGAGAAGUACGCGGAAUGCGCGGUGUAGCGGUGAAAUGCAUAGAUAUCGCGCAGA